This is a non-coding RNA of Lolium perenne, 2292 nucleotides long. Lineage: Eukaryota; Viridiplantae; Streptophyta; Magnoliopsida; Poales; Poaceae. The record is from RefSeq and is a predicted model, not a curated record.
GGACACGGCCGGAGACGGGCCGGCGCGGGGUGGAUCUGCUCCGGCGCGACGACCGGAGGCGACGUGCUCGCGCGGGGCGGAUCCGCCACACUUUGGCUCACGCGACUCACUCGAUUCCCUUCCCAUUCCGCCGGCAGGCCUUCCGCCGCCCCAGCCCACCACCGGCCGCUCCUCCCCUCCGUCGUCCCUCUUCACCUGCUGGGUCCUCGCGGCUGGACGUCGUGGCCGAACUGGUGGAGCCGUCCAGCGGCGUCGCCGGCGCCGUGAUGUUGACCACUGCAGCAGCCUGAGAAGAGAGGCCGGAUGCACUGGUGAUGGUCGCCACUCUCCGGCUGCAGGCGAGGCGACAUGCUGCUGCACUCCACCUCCCCAACGAGCUGCUGCCCGUGAGGUCCCUCUCCUCCCAAGUUAGUUUUGCUCACCUGCUGGGUCCUCGCGGCUGGACGUCGUGGCCGUACUGGUGGAGCCGUCCAGCGGCGUCGCCGGCGCCGUGAUGUUGACCACUGCAGCAGCCUGAGAAGAGAGGCCGGAUGCACUGGUGAUGGUCGCCACUCUCCGGCUGCAGGCGAGGCGACAUGCUGCUGCACUCCACCUCCCCAACGAGCUGCUGCCCGUGAGGUUCAAAUCGUGUCGGGGGAGGAGGAGCCCAAGGGCGCGAGGUGUGGUUACCGGGAGACCGCCUCGUGUGGUGUUCCGGUGUUUGUGGUGCCCUCCGGUGGUGAUGUCCACCGGAGCUCCUGAUGCUGCUCUCGUCGAGUGGCAACGGUGAUGCCAUGAACGGGCUGCUGUUGGUUGAACCGCUGCCACGACAAGGAGGAUCAAGCUCAUCUCCUGAAGUCAGGUCUGCGUCUUGCUGGUCUUGUAUGGUAUUUUUCUCUGGCUGGCUCAAGUGCACGCAUAGAAGGUACUCGUGGUCUCCGCAUCUGAUAGCAUGUAUUGUGAGCUGCCUGGAGGCGGCGGUGGCUGGAUGACACAUUGCAAAGAAGGUUGUUCUCUGAAGACUUUUGAAUGAGGGAACUCGGUCAUUUCUUCUGCAUCAUCAUUGCAGGUUCCUAUUACACAGAGAGUGAAGUUCAAAUUUGUUGGAUUGAUUGGUGUGUCCCGGAUGGUACCACCGCUAGGGUCUCCCGAAGGCGGAAAUCAAGCAUGUGCAAUGUAUUUCAUUGUCACAAUAAUUGGUUCAUUUUCUAUUAUAAAAACAUAAGGGGUUGUUUGGAAGAAAAGGCAGGAGGAGAAUAAUAUCACUAAUUUUGUACGACUUCCAUAAUACCCAGUAAAAACACUUAGUUUGUUUCUUUGUAUGUGUUUAUGACGAAUACAAUAAAAAGGGCCUCAUUAUUUUAUUUAGCUCAUGUUACCAGCUUCUUAUUUCGGGUACUCAAAUUAUUGUUCUUUUUCUCCUACAGAGAUGUUGUAUCUACAUACUAUCUUCAUACUUUUGGCUUAAUUGAAAUCACUAUACCGUAGGAAAAUUAUUUUUUGUAUUGGUUGCUUAUUUGUCAUGCAUUCCUUGUUAGUGGAUCUUCCAACAUUUGUCGCACGAGGCUUUUCUUAUUUUUUAUAUCUUGGGAGGCUGUGCGCGUGGCGACCGACAACGAGCAUGGACAAGCUGCGAUGUUUAUGAUGUGUAAUCUGAUUGGGUGCCUUCAAAUUCUCACUCCCUGCCGAUGUUUGAUGCUGCUGCUCCUUUCCUACAUGAGGUAAUAUAACAAGCUUGAAACAUUUUUCCAUAGUUCAUGUCUUCAAUCAUGCCGAUUGUUCAUGUUCCUAACGAGAUGCAGCCUCAGUUCGCUGUCGACGUAAUGGUCCAGUUCGGUCUACCUCGCUGGAUAUUUCACACCAAAGGAUGCAGAGGACCACCUGCAGAUGUGUUUUUAGAUAAUGGCCUACAUGUGCUUAGCAGGAAGUAUGAACUAUGAGGUGGAAAGAAAAUCUCAUUGGUUUGGUUUGGUUCCUAAUUUCAGAGAGGUUCUUUCGUUUGCAGAGUUGAGGAUGUGGCACUGACAAUGGUUCUCCACACAAGUUCCAGAACUUGUGACUCUUGCCAUCAAUAGCACUAUGGGCCUCAAGAAUACCACACUUGAGGUUGGUAAUAUACCUGAUUCAAAUAUCAGAAACCAGUCAUUUGGGUAGCAGAGAGCAGAAUGAAAAGUUGGCUUGCAUUCCAGGUUCCAAGGCUCGCCGGGUUUUUUUUGCUGAUAAAGAGUUGCCCUCAUGUACCUGAUCAUCUAGGCGCAGAUGACGUCGCAGAAAGCUCAAGCGGAUGGACAAAGCAAGAAGAAAGCCUGGAUC